Non-coding RNA from Mycena galericulata, 97 nucleotides. The record is from the annotation of a GenBank genome assembly. Lineage: Eukaryota; Fungi; Basidiomycota; Agaricomycetes; Agaricales; Mycenaceae.
GGCCCGGUGGUGGGAGGCCGCACCUGCGUCUCAUUAGAAAUAAAUAUUUCUCGUGCAGAAUGAGCCGGAGAACCCCGUUCGAUCCGGGGCCGGGCCA